GACGAACGCUGGCGGCGUGCUUAACACAUGCAAGUCGAACGGAAAGGCCCAGCUUUUGUGGGGUGCUCGAGUGGCGAACGGGUGAGUAACACGUGAGUAACCUGUCCUUGACUUUGGGAUAACUUCAGGAAACUGGGGCUAAUACCGGAUAGGAGCUCCUGCUGCAUGGUGGGGGUUGGAAAGUUUCGGCGGUUGGGGAUGGACUCGCGGCUUAUCAGCUUGUUGGUGGGGUAGUGGCUUACCAAGGCUUUGACGGGUAGCCGGCCUGAGAGGGUGACCGGCCACAUUGGGACUGAGAUACGGCCCAGACUCCUACGGGAGGCAGCAGUGGGGAAUAUUGCACAAUGGGCGGAAGCCUGAUGCAGCAACGCCGCGUGCGGGAUGACGGCCUUCGGGUUGUAAACCGCUUUCGCCUGUGACGAAGCGUGAGUGACGGUAAUGGGUAAAGAAGCACCGGCUAACUACGUG
This 468-nucleotide ribosomal RNA is filed under the name uncultured bacterium. RNAcentral's name for it is "partial 16S ribosomal RNA". It matches the Rfam family "Bacterial small subunit ribosomal RNA", at positions 28 to 507 of the family's 1533-position model. The record is from RNAcentral.